UUAACUCCUGUUCGGGUGAUCGCCCUGGUGCGGUUCGCGCGGCGUGCCAGCCAAUCUGACCUGUUGAUUGGCAAGGAAGAAUACGUGUCAGAUCCCAGAGGCUGCGAUCGGCUAAAUUUCCGAUCUCGAGAAAGCUUAUCAGCGAAUCGGCCGAUUUGCCGUAAUAAAGAAAUCGGCUAUGAAGCAGCCGAUUACUGAGCAGCGUGAACGAAAACUAUUGGAGUAAUCAAUACAAUGCUACAGUAACAACACUAGGAAUAGAUCUAGUCGGCUAUGUGUAAAAUAAGCAAGUUAAAUGACUAAAUACGAGAAAAGCCGAUAUUGCCGAUUCCUAGCUGGAUAACUGGUGAUAGAACUAGAACAAAAGGUAAAACCUAUAAUUCUAGUAAAUAUCGAUAACUAGUGAAUAAAUCUAAACGAAACAACAGCGAUGCGCCCGAAGUUAAAGCUUAGAAUUUACUCGGUAAACGGAACUUACAAGAUCGGCCGGAGGUCAAAUUGAUGCAGCCCCGCCAACCCGUAGGAACUCGUGAAAAAGAAGAAAGUAUUUGGCGAAGUCGCCUGCUUGAAAGUAAGUACGAGGAAAUAGUAGUUUGUUGUAUUGAGUUGUUGAUUACAGAUCUACAAAGGUGGCUAUUUAUAGCCCCGUACAGAUAACUCCUUAUCUGACUAGAACUCUAUCCCUAAUUCAAACAGAAAACGAAUAUUUACAAGUACGAUUCGUACUAGGUUGAUUAUUAUGCGCUCCAUGGGCUGAUUCCCUCUUCAUCUUUAUAGUCCUUUCUAAGCCCAUACCGGCCCAACUAUUCCAACCUCCUAACCGGCCGAUUUCCUCAUCGGCGGAGGGUAACCGAU
RNAcentral lists this long non-coding RNA (855 nucleotides) under Setaria italica (foxtail millet). RNAcentral's name for it is "long non-coding RNA (SITA_LNC005020)". The record is from RNAcentral. Lineage: Eukaryota; Viridiplantae; Streptophyta; Magnoliopsida; Poales; Poaceae.